Molecule: long non-coding RNA, 1232 nt
Filed under: Oncorhynchus mykiss (rainbow trout)
Lineage: Eukaryota; Metazoa; Chordata; Actinopteri; Salmoniformes; Salmonidae
Description: lncRNA (ENSOMYG00000057243.1)
Source: RNAcentral
AUGUUCCCUCUCAGAGCGAUGUCUAAAUCUAGACGUGUCGUUAAUUCUAGCCUGAUUCCAGUGUUUGUCAUGACGAUGGAGGCAGAGUUCGUGGGGGGGGGGGGGGUCAAUUCCGUUUCAAUUCCAGUCAGUUCAGGAAGUGUACCGACAUUCCAAUUUAUUUUUACUCUCUGAUUUGAUUGGGUCUGGAAUGGAAUUGACCCCAACCGAAACGACGAGUGACAGGAAGUUGACACAAUAGCACAAACGUAUCUGGAACCAGAUUAUGUCGAUAGAUCCACACUAGAAUCAUCAGCGUGUCUCCUGUUUCUGUCUAACAGUCGGUUUCUCCUCAUGGAAACAAACGUAAUGUUUUUGCCCUAACGUCAUGACACUACAUUUGACCAGGAGUUGAUAAACCAGAUCUGUGACCAUUAAGAUUUAAUUUGACCGCGGGAUUUUUUCCUCUGUUCUGCUUUCAAGACGAGCAAAAAGUUGAUCGUGGCUGGCAUUUAAACUCUGCUAGGCCAAACUAGUUCUUUAAGGGUUUUUUUUUAUUUUUAUUUUCGUGGACACACAUUAGGUUUAGUCCUAGAACUAAAAACACCCAUUUUAAAAUCAUUAUUUUAGUCCAGAGGGCUUUGCUUAAUCUGUGUCUAGGAGACAGAAAACCUAGUGUUGCUCUCCAAUUUAAACUCUUUGCUGCAGAGUAACCUGCACAUGGAGCAAUGACUUGAGAUUGUUGUUUUUCUUACUUUUGUAAAGAUUAUGUUGGGCAACUGGCCAUGUGCAUUAUGCAAGGUUGUUCAUUUCAAAUGUUCCGUUUUAAAAUAAAUGAAUCAAGAAUAAAAUACAAAUGGCACAUCAGUAAUUUAUUGAAAAUGAUUCAACAGAUUCAUAAAUAAGUGGGAACCCAUUCCCUUAGUUACAGCAUUCCUUUAGUUACAGCAUUUCCCUUGGUUACAGCAUUCCCUUGGUUACAGCAUUUCCCUUGGUUACAGCAUUCCAUUGGUUACAGCAUUCCUUUAGUUACAGCAUUUCCCUUGGUUACAGCCUUCCCUUGGUUACAGCAUUCCUUUAGUUACAGCAUUCCCUUGGUUACAGCAUUCCCUUGGUUACAGCAUUCCCUUGGUUACAGCAUUCCUUUAGUUACAGCAUUCCCUUGGUUACAGCAGUCCCUUGGUUACAACAUUUCCUUGGUUACAGCAUUCCUUUAGUUACAGCAUUCCCUUGGUUACAGCAUUCCCUUGGUU